Molecule: ribosomal RNA, 546 nt
Filed under: Enterobacter hormaechei subsp. xiangfangensis
Lineage: Bacteria; Pseudomonadati; Pseudomonadota; Gammaproteobacteria; Enterobacterales; Enterobacteriaceae
Description: bacterial SSU rRNA
Rfam family: Bacterial small subunit ribosomal RNA
Source: RNAcentral
UGCUUUGCUGACGAGUGGCGGACGGGUGAGUAAUGUCUGGGAAACUGCCUGAUGGAGGGGGAUAACUACUGGAAACGGUAGCUAAUACCGCAUAACGUCGCAAGACCAAAGAGGGGGACCUUCGGGCCUCUUGCCAUCGGAUGUGCCCAGAUGGGAUUAGCUAGUAGGUGGGGUAACGGCUCACCUAGGCGACGAUCCCUAGCUGGUCUGAGAGGAUGACCAGCCACACUGGAACUGAGACACGGUCCAGACUCCUACGGGAGGCAGCAGUGGGGAAUAUUGCACAAUGGGCGCAAGCCUGAUGCAGCCAUGCCGCGUGUAUGAAGAAGGCCUUCGGGUUGUAAAGUACUUUCAGCGGGGAGGAAGGCGAUGAGGUUAAUAACCUUGUCGAUUGACGUUACCCGCAGAAGAAGCACCGGCUAACUCCGUGCCAGCAGCCGCGGUAAUACGGAGGGUGCAAGCGUUAAUCGGAAUUACUGGGCGUAAAGCGCACGCAGGCGGUCUGUCAAGUCGGAUGUGAAAUCCCCGGGCUCAACCUGGGAACUG